This 253-nucleotide ribosomal RNA is filed under the name uncultured bacterium. RNAcentral's name for it is "partial 16S ribosomal RNA". It matches the Rfam family "Bacterial small subunit ribosomal RNA", at positions 524 to 776 of the family's 1533-position model. The record is from RNAcentral.
UACGGAGGGUGCAAGCGUUGUCCGGAUUCAUUGGGUUUAAAGGGUGCGUAGGCGGGUUUAUAAGUCAGUGGUGAAAGCUCAGGGCUCAACUCUGGAUGUGCCAUUGAUACUGUAGAUCUUGAGAGCAGAUGAGGUAGCUGGAAUGUGUAGUGUAGCGGUGAAAUGCAUAGAGAUUACACAGAACACCAAUUGCGAAGGCAGGUUACUAGUCUGUAUCUGACGCUGAUGCACGAAAGUGUGGGGAGCGAACAGG